Molecule: long non-coding RNA, 997 nt
Organism: Felis catus (domestic cat)
Lineage: Eukaryota; Metazoa; Chordata; Mammalia; Carnivora; Felidae
Exons: 3
Source: RefSeq, a predicted model, not a curated record
ACAGUUCAACGAGCCAGCCCGGAGCUUUCUGUCUGGGCAGCGGCACUGAAGCUCUCCCCAGGGCUCGGAAUCCGAUCGGCUCUGGAAUAAUCGUCCCGCCCGGCCUCCUUCCUCGGAGACCUCCUUCCCCAAAGGGGUCCUGGUCGUCAGCCUGGGGAGGCUCCCGGCCCCCUGGGGUCCUGGGCUUUCCCGUGAGCCUGCGGGAACCGGGGCCGUCUCUGCAGUUGGCGAGCAUCGGUGGAGACGCUCCCAGGAAUUCAUCAUGAAUUUUCUGCGCGGCUCGUGUAUUCACUGUCGUAAUUGUGUUAACAAUUGCACUGAGGCUCCUGACGGCCUCCUCUCUACACUGCUGCUGGAAUGAUGCCUCGCAGGCCCAGGGGGACCCCCAACCACACUCAGUCACCUCUGAGGGGCCUCUAGUCCUCCAGGGGAAUUGUGGAGGCCUAUAGAGCCUGGCCGGCUAAGAUUUAAGGCAGGAAUGUUUGUAGCCCGGGAGACGGCUGGCUGGCUGAGAAGCAGCAAAGCAGACCAGGAAAACGGGUCUCCUUUGAAAGGUCAAGGCUGGAAGCAGCCUGUGGGUCAACAUGUUUUCUCACCCUGUAAAUGCUUAAUCGAAAGCAGUAAAACAGCCCCCUUCCUAUGACGUAUACACCGCCCCUGUCACGUUCCCUCGCUGCCUGCACAUCACUACCCUGAUGGCCCUGUUGCCCUGGAUCACUUAGGAGCAUGCUUUGUCCCUGCUUUUGAAACUGCGCGUCCCUUUCCCCUGCACCUCUUGAAACGUACUGGUAAGAUUCUCGACAAAAACCGGAGAAGAGCUUUGCUUGGGGCGUCACCCCUAGAGCGCUUGGCCCCCUCGCCCUCUCCUUUCUCUGCUUCGGGGGUCUGGAGUAACCUGUCACCCACCGCCCCAGGGUUUGCUGGUCAACCCGGCAGGGAAUCCUCCUCGUCCCGCUCCCUGUGUGUCCCCCCCCACAGCCCCGCCAUUACCUGCAGC